RNAcentral lists this ribosomal RNA (557 nucleotides) under Priestia megaterium. Its description in RNAcentral is "bacterial SSU rRNA". It matches the Rfam family "Bacterial small subunit ribosomal RNA", at positions 338 to 885 of the family's 1533-position model. The record is from RNAcentral. Lineage: Bacteria; Bacillati; Bacillota; Bacilli; Caryophanales; Bacillaceae.
CCUACGGGAAGGCAGCAGUAGGGAAUCUUCCGCAAUGGACGAAAGUCUGACGGAGCAACGCCGCGUGAGUGAUGAAGGCUUUCGGGUCGUAAAACUCUGUUGUUAGGGAAGAACAAGUACGAGAGUAACUGCUUGUACCUUGACGGUACCUAACCAGAAAGCCACGGCUAACUACGUGCCAGCAGCCGCGGUAAUACGUAGGUGGCAAGCGUUAUCCGGAAUUAUUGGGCGUAAAGCGCGCGCAGGCGGUUUCUUAAGUCUGAUGUGAAAGCCCACGGCUCAACCGUGGAGGGUCAUUGGAAACUGGGGAACUUGAGUGCAGAAGAGAAAAGCGGAAUUCCACGUGUAGCGGUGAAAUGCGUAGAGAUGUGGAGGAACACCAGUGGCGAAGGCGGCUUUUUGGUCUGUAACUGACGCUGAGGCGCGAAAGCGUGGGGAGCAAACAGGAUUAGAUACCCUGGUAGUCCACGCCGUAAACGAUGAGUGCUAAGUGUUAGAGGGUUUCCGCCCUUUAGUGCUGCAGCUAACGCAUAAGCACUCCGCCUGGGAGUUUACGC